This 734-nucleotide ribosomal RNA is filed under the name Pseudogymnoascus sp. RNAcentral describes it as "partial large subunit ribosomal RNA". It matches the Rfam family "Eukaryotic large subunit ribosomal RNA", at positions 80 to 835 of the family's 3401-position model. The record is from RNAcentral. Lineage: Eukaryota; Fungi; Ascomycota; Leotiomycetes; Thelebolales; Thelebolaceae.
UCAGUAACGGCGAGUGAAGCGGUAACAGCUCAAAUUUGAAAUCUGGCCUCACGGUCCGAGUUGUAAUUUGUAGAGGAUGCUUCGAGCAUGGUCUGGCCUAAGUUCCUUGGAACAGGACGUCAUAGAGGGUGAGAAUCCCGUAUGCGGCCAGGUGCCUACGCUCAUGUGAAGCUCCUUCGACGAGUCGAGUUGUUUGGGAAUGCAGCUCAAAAUGGGUGGUAAAUUUCAUCUAAAGCUAAAUAUUGGCCAGAGACCGAUAGCGCACAAGUAGAGUGAUCGAAAGAUGAAAAGCACUUUGGAAAGAGAGUUAAACAGUACGUGAAAUUGUUGAAAGGGAAGCGCUUGCAACCAGACUUGCGCGCGGCCGAUCAUCCGGUGUUCUCACCGGUGCACUCGGCCGUGCUCAGGCCAGCAUCGGUUUUGGCGGCUGGAUAAAGGCCCUAGGAAUGUAGCUCCUCUCGGGGAGUGUUAUAGCCUAGGGUGCAAUGCAGCCUGCUGGGACCGAGGACCGCGCUUCGGCUAGGAUGCUGGCGUAAUGGUUGUAAGCGGCCCGUCUUGAAACACGGACCAAGGAGUCUAACAUCUAUGCGAGUGUUUGGGUGUCAAACCCAUACGCGUAAUGAAAGUGAACGGAGGUGAGAACCCUUAAGGGUGCAUCAUCGACCGGUCCUGAAGUUUACGGAAGGAUCUGAGUAAGAGCAUAGCUGUUGGGACCCGAAAGAUGGUGAACUAUG